CCAAUAGCGUAUAUUAAAGUUGUUGCAGUUAAAAAGCUCGUAGUUGAAUUUCGGGAUCAGUACGUUGGUCAUGCCUUGGUAUGUACUGGUGUAACUGAUUCCUCCCUUCUGACGAACCGUCAUGCCAUUCACUUGGUGUGGCGGGAAAUCAGGACUGUUACUUUGAAAAAAUUAGAGUGUUUAAAGCAGGCUCGCGCUUGAAUACAUUAGCAUGGAAUAA
RNAcentral lists this ribosomal RNA (220 nucleotides) under uncultured Glomus. Its description in RNAcentral is "partial small subunit ribosomal RNA". It matches the Rfam family "Eukaryotic small subunit ribosomal RNA", at positions 591 to 817 of the family's 1831-position model. Lineage: Eukaryota; Fungi; Glomeromycota; Glomeromycetes; Glomerales; Glomeraceae. The record is from RNAcentral.